RNAcentral lists this ribosomal RNA (575 nucleotides) under uncultured rumen bacterium. RNAcentral's name for it is "bacterial SSU rRNA". It matches the Rfam family "Bacterial small subunit ribosomal RNA", at positions 347 to 916 of the family's 1533-position model. The record is from RNAcentral.
GGCAGCAGCUAAGAAUAUUCCGCAAUGGACGAAAGUCUGACGGAGCGACGCCGCGUGGAUGAUGAAGGCCGGAAGGUUGUAAAAUCCUUUUAUGACUGAGGAAUAAGGUGGAUGAGAGAAACGUCCGCUGGUGACUGUAGGUCAUGAAUAAGCAACGGCUAAUUACGUGCCAGCAGCCGCGGUAACACGUAAGUUGCGAGCGUUGUUCGGAAUUAUUGGGCGUAAAGGGCAUGUAGGCGGUUAUGCAAGUCUGGUGUGAAAUGCCGGGGCUUAACCCCGGAACUGCGUUGGAAACUGCAUGACUUGAGUCGCUGAGGGGCAGCCAGAAUUCCAGGUGUAGGGGUGAAAUCUGUAGAUAUCUGGAAGAAUACCAAUGGCGAAGGCAGGCUGCCUGCAGAUGACUGACGCUGAGGUGCGAAGGUGCGGGGAGCAAACAGGAUUAGAUACCCUGGUAGUCCGCACAGUCAACUAUGUACACUGGGUGUCCGUGCAUGAGCAUGGGUGCCGAAGCAAACGCGAUAAGUGUACCGCCUGGGGAGUAUGCCCGCAAGGGUGAAACUCAAAGGAAUUGACGG